Molecule: long non-coding RNA, 1397 nt
Organism: Glycine soja
Lineage: Eukaryota; Viridiplantae; Streptophyta; Magnoliopsida; Fabales; Fabaceae
Exons: 3
Source: RefSeq, a predicted model, not a curated record
AGGGUAGACAUUUGUAUUAACAGUCCUAUUUCAUUUCAUAAGGAUCAAACGGAUAGCACCAGCCAAAGUAAUUUACCCCUAGUUUACUUUUGCCUCUUAUAAUGAAUGGAUGCAACAAUACAUGGGUGCCAUAUAGGAAGGGAUGAAGAAGAACUCAAAGCUUGUGGCUAAUGUUGAAAAGCAUGUCCAUGGAAACUGGUGUUCAGUUCCAGCCAAAAAGCAGAUGUAGAAGGACCGGAGCUGCAGACUGAGGUGGAUUAACGACCUCAAACCAGAGAUAAAAUGAGGAAACUUUAGUUUAGCAGAAGAUAUAUCAUACCAUUAAAAUACUCCAUGCUCUUGGAAACAAAUGGUCAAUCACAACAUCUCACAGCUUGUCCAAUACAACAAAUAAUGAGAUCAAGAAUUGUUGGAACACCAACAUCAAGAAAAAGCUUAUGAGAAAGAGAAUACAUUCAACUACCCACAAACCAAAAGCCAACAGGUUGUAUGUACACCAGUCGAAGGAUGUUAUCACUAUGAAGCACUUAGUACAACAAGAAAGUGCUAGAUUUGCAGCUAAACCCAUGCAAGUUGAAUUCAGCUCUUUCAUUCCCCCAGUUCAUUAGAUUCAUUAUCAACAAAACAAAACAACAAUGUGUAUAUCAUAUAUGUCCUCAUGCUUGUUACAUAUUAUGACCUUCAAUUACUUAUAUCCACAUUGAGUUUCUUAGGUAGAAAACUUAUUGUCUCAACUAAUGUAGGAAAAUUAACCAAUAUCGAAAGUUUACUCUCAUACAAGAGUAAUGGUAAUGUCAUAGAAAGUAAUAGUCAAACUCAAAAGAUAUUGAAAGAUUAUAUGCUAGACUUGUAGGAUGGUGAUAUUGUAGUGGUUAUAGAUAUAAAAGUGACUUUCUACAUGUUUAAAGCUAUAACCAAUGUAAAAAGUAACCUACAUUCACAAUCACCAUAAUGUGUGGUCAUCUUACAAGUUUGACACAUAAUCUUUUAUUAUCUUUUGAAUUUGACUAUUAGUUUCUACGAUAUUACCAUCACUUUUAUAUGAAAGUGAAUUUUCGAUGUAAGUGAAUUGUCCUACAUUAGUUUAAAUAAUAAGUUUUUCACCUGAAAAACUCAAUGUGGAUAUUAAUGAUUGAAGAUCAUUACAUGUAACAAACAUGAUGACAUACAUGUUAUACACAAUGUUGUUGUGUUUGGUUGAUAAUAAAUCUAAUGAAAUGGGGGAAUGAAAGAGCUGGAUCCAAUGUGCAAUAAGGAUUUUUUUCUCAUUGUUGUUUCUCUUUUCAAUUUGGAUUGGUCAUCACCAUAAGCUUUAAAAGGUGUUAGCUUUUAGUUUGUAGAUAAUGGAGAGUGUUCAUCUUAAAAUCGAAGACGAAAAACCCAUGUUAUAGGUUGAA